RNAcentral lists this unclassified non-coding RNA (240 nucleotides) under soil metagenome. RNAcentral's name for it is "partial contains 5.8S ribosomal RNA, internal transcribed spacer 2, and large subunit ribosomal RNA". The record is from RNAcentral.
AACCUUAUGGACCUGCGGGCGUAUACCUGCGGAAGGAUCAUUAAAAAGAAUUUGAUUAUCCCAUUAAAAUAUAUGGAUUAAUAAUUCAUAUUCACUCUUGUGUGCAUCUAUUGAUUAGUAUACUUUGACAGAUUCUCUCUUGUCUUUUUUUUCUCUUUUUUCUUUCUUUAUUAAAGAAAGCGAACAAAGAAAGAGAGAGAGAUUAAAAUUUUGAAUUCUAAUCUCGGGUCUGUCAGAGUU